UACGGGGGGGGCAAGCGUUGUUCGGAAUUACUGGGCGUAAAGGGCUCGUAGGCGGCCAACUAAGUCGGAUGUGAAAUCCCCAGGCUUAACCUGGGAACUGCAUCCGAUACUGGAUGGCUUGAAUCCGGGAGAGGGAUGCGGAAUUCCAGGUGUAGCGGUGAAAUGCGCAGAUAUCAGGAGGAACUCCGGUGGCGAAGGCGGCACGCUGGACCCUCCCUGACGCUGAGGCGCGAAGGCGUGGGGAGCGAACGGG
This 253-nucleotide ribosomal RNA is filed under the name uncultured bacterium. Its description in RNAcentral is "partial 16S ribosomal RNA". It matches the Rfam family "Bacterial small subunit ribosomal RNA", at positions 524 to 776 of the family's 1533-position model. The record is from RNAcentral.